UGGUGCCUCUGUCAGACUCCUCCCCCUCUCUUCUCCGCUUGGCUCCUGAUUCAGCCCAGCUGCAACCACUCACUUCAUCAUCACUGCCUGCCUACUUAAGGAGCCCCUGGACCAGUAUCCAUCGCUAGUCCGUUGCCCCUGAUGGUUACCCCAAGCCACGAGUGGUUGCCUGAAGCCGCUGUCAGGAAACUUCAUCUGGACUGUUUCAUCCGAACCCACCACGAGCCUCUGCCGAACCGCCACCUUCUCGAGUCUCCCCCUACGCUGCUGACUCCGGACCCUACAGGCGGAUCCACCAGUGACGCCACAGAAAUCUGCAUCUUGCCUUCCAAACCUCCUGGAACUGUGUUUCUCUUCUGGCCUGGUUAUUAAAUCCGCUUCAUCGUCA
Non-coding RNA from Oryzias latipes (Japanese medaka), 388 nucleotides. The record is from RefSeq and is a predicted model, not a curated record. Lineage: Eukaryota; Metazoa; Chordata; Actinopteri; Beloniformes; Adrianichthyidae.